GUGACGGUAGCUCAAAUCUGGCAGAGCACCGGGUUGUGAUCCCGGCGGGUGCGGGUUCAAAUCCCGUCCGUCACCCCA
Molecule: transfer RNA, 78 nt
Filed under: Mycobacterium avium
Lineage: Bacteria; Bacillati; Actinomycetota; Actinomycetes; Mycobacteriales; Mycobacteriaceae
Also listed under: 3 other names
Description: tRNA-His
Rfam family: tRNA
About the family: Transfer RNA (tRNA) molecules are approximately 80 nucleotides in length. Their secondary structure includes four short double-helical elements and three loops (D, anti-codon, and T loops).
Source: RNAcentral